Long non-coding RNA from Oncorhynchus mykiss (rainbow trout), 223 nucleotides. RefSeq lists it as uncharacterized. The record is from RefSeq and is a predicted model, not a curated record. Lineage: Eukaryota; Metazoa; Chordata; Actinopteri; Salmoniformes; Salmonidae.
CUCUAUAUUUGCAGCUGGGAAAAAUCGUUUGGCUAAAGUCUUGAAACCCCUUGUGCGCAAAAAAAUGAAGUCAGAAUGCAUAGUUCCUGACGUUUUCCUUGCUAAGAAGUGACCUCUGCAAUUUGAAAAAUAUUUUCUGAAAUUCAUUUUCAUUCUUUCCCUUGUUUUCUAUAUACAUUUUUAAAUUCUUCAAGCAUUAUAAAAUAAUAAAAUCAUUUUAUCA